AAGACUGUCUACCAGCCUGUGGAUCAUCUCUAUCCUCCAGGAGGUGUGGAGGGGCUGGCCCAGGAGGACAUUACAUAUGUCAGGACCCACAGUCAGGCACUCCUUCAGGAGGCAGGAGACGGAGGAGCAGCGAAGGAAGCUGUGGGAGCAGGGCAGCGGCAGGGGGUACAGAGGAAAGAAGAGGAGUCACAACAAAGGACAGAGGUAAAGGAGGAGCAAGUCAGAGCUCCAAGACUCAGGUUUUGCACACCCACAAAUUCCAUUUCCAAAGACCUGAUGGAGACUUUGAGUCCCUUCCCUGGAUUGCAGCCUCCCAGCAGAGCUCAAACAGAACACAC
RNAcentral lists this long non-coding RNA (338 nucleotides) under Homo sapiens (human). RNAcentral describes it as "HSALNT0297465". The record is from RNAcentral. Lineage: Eukaryota; Metazoa; Chordata; Mammalia; Primates; Hominidae.